This 253-nucleotide ribosomal RNA is filed under the name uncultured bacterium. Its description in RNAcentral is "partial 16S ribosomal RNA". It matches the Rfam family "Bacterial small subunit ribosomal RNA", at positions 524 to 776 of the family's 1533-position model. The record is from RNAcentral.
UACAGAGGUCUCAAGCGUUGUUCGGAUUCAUUGGGCGUAAAGGGUGUGUAGGUGGCGCCGUAAGUCGGGUGUGAAAUUUCGGAGCUUAACUCCGAAACUGCAUUCGAUACUGCGGUGCUUGAGGACUGGAGAGGAGACUGGAAUUUACGGUGUAGCAGUGAAAUGCGUAGAUAUCGUAAGGAAGACCAGUGGCGAAGGCGGGUCUCUGGACAGUUCCUGACACUGAGACACGGAGGCCAGGGGAGCAAACGGG